UCUCUUGAGAGCGGCGGACGGGUGAGUAAUGCCUAGGAAUCUGCCUGGUAGUGGGGGAUAACGUUCGGAAACGGACGCUAAUACCGCAUACGUCCUACGGGAGAAAGCAGGGGACCUUCGGGCCUUGCGCUAUCAGAUGAGCCUAGGUCGGAUUAGCUAGUUGGUGGGGUAAUGGCUCACCAAGGCGACGAUCCGUAACUGGUCUGAGAGGAUGAUCAGUCACACUGGAACUGAGACACGGUCCAGACUCCUACGGGAGGCAGCAGUGGGGAAUAUUGGACAAUGGGCGAAAGCCUGAUCCAGCCAUGCCGCGUGUGUGAAGAAGGUCUUCGGAUUGUAAAGCACUUUAAGUUGGGAGGAAGGGCAGUAAAUUAAUACUUUGCUGUUUUGACGUUACCGACAGAAUAAGCACCGGCUAACUCUGUGCCAGCAGCCGCGGUAAUACAGAGGGUGCAAGCGUUAAUCGGAAUUACUGGGCGUAAAGCGCGCGUAGGUGGUUC
This 500-nucleotide ribosomal RNA is filed under the name Pseudomonas sp. RNAcentral describes it as "bacterial SSU rRNA". It matches the Rfam family "Bacterial small subunit ribosomal RNA", at positions 85 to 581 of the family's 1533-position model. The record is from RNAcentral. Lineage: Bacteria; Pseudomonadati; Pseudomonadota; Gammaproteobacteria; Pseudomonadales; Pseudomonadaceae.